AGUGAACGCUGGCGGUAGGCCUAACACAUGCAAGUCGAACGGCAGCACAGUAAGAGCUUGCUCUUACGGGUGGCGAGUGGCGGACGGGUGAGGAAUACAUCGGAAUCUACUUUUUCGUGGGGGAUCACGUAGGGAAACUUACGCUAAUACCGCAUACGACCUACGGGUGAAAGCAGGGGAACUUCGGACCUUGCGCGAUUGAAUGAGCCGAUGACGGAUUAGCUAGUUGGCGGGGUAAAGGCCCACCAAGGCGACGAUCCGUAGCUGGUCUGAGUGGAUGAUCAGCCACACUGGAGCUGGACCACGGUCAAGGCUCCUGCGGGAGGCAGCAGUGGGGAAUAUUAGGCAGUGGUCGCAAGUCUGGUCCAACGGUCCCGCGUGGGUGGAGGAGGCGUUCGGGUUGUAAAGACGUUUUGUUGGGAGAGAAAAGCAGCCGGCUAAUACCACGCUGUUGUGACGGUAACCAGUGAAUGAGCACCGGCUAACUUCGUG
RNAcentral lists this ribosomal RNA (492 nucleotides) under uncultured bacterium. RNAcentral describes it as "partial 16S ribosomal RNA". It matches the Rfam family "Bacterial small subunit ribosomal RNA", at positions 29 to 507 of the family's 1533-position model. The record is from RNAcentral.